This 253-nucleotide ribosomal RNA is filed under the name uncultured bacterium. RNAcentral's name for it is "partial 16S ribosomal RNA". It matches the Rfam family "Bacterial small subunit ribosomal RNA", at positions 524 to 776 of the family's 1533-position model. The record is from RNAcentral.
UACGAAGGGGGCGAGCGUUGUUCGGAUUUACUGGGCGUAAAGGGCGCGCAGGCGGCUCAUUUUGUCAGGCGUGAAAGCCCCGGGCUUAACCUGGGAACUGCGUUUGAUACGGAUGGGCUAGAGUUCGGGAGAGGAGAGUGGAAUUCCCAGUGUAGAGGUGAAAUUCGUAGAUAUUGGGAAGAACACCGGUGGCGAAGGCGGCUCACUGGCCCGAGACUGACGCUGAGGCGCGAAAGCGUGGGGAGCAAACAGG